Carassius carassius (crucian carp) is the source of this 639-nucleotide long non-coding RNA. RefSeq lists it as uncharacterized. The record is from RefSeq and is a predicted model, not a curated record. The transcript has 3 exons. Lineage: Eukaryota; Metazoa; Chordata; Actinopteri; Cypriniformes; Cyprinidae.
AAAACCACACACUGUCCAUUUCAGCAUGUUUGCUGUUCUUUAGAACUGAAGACUUUUCUGUUCGCUGAAUAUCUCAGAGUUGUGAUGGAUGGGUCAUCGCUCUUCAGCUCAACACAAGACUACUUGCUGGCCCCUUCCUGUGAAAACACCACUGUUUCCGUUUUUUUUUUUUUUCUAAAACUAGUCGAAGAAACUUUGUUAAUCCCUGACAUGAACUUUUCUGUGAACAGUUUUGGACUGCUGUCUUGAACUGGAUGCGAGACCCGUGAGCUGCUCCAAACGCAGCUGUGCUUAGUCCGCUGUGCGACUAUCUUCACAUCUAUAAAUUAAGAAAUAUAAUGAAAACAAUUAAAAGAAAUUCAUUCAUGGCAGACGAUCUGUGGAGCAUCACAGACCAUCACAGAGAAUUCAACUAAAAGAAAAAGAAAAAUGCCAAACCAAGAGAGCAAGAGACAAUCUUCAGGACCAGGAGAGAAACAGAUGCUGAGACUAACCAGAAGAAACAGCAUUAACAGCGGAAAACCAAACUGUGAGUAUUCAUCAUAUUAAAUAUAAAACACGGUGACAUGUCGAUCAUCAAUACAUAAUCAACAAUAGCUUUAACAUUUAUCCACUUCAUAAAAACUGUGAGGAUAAUCA